RNAcentral lists this ribosomal RNA (253 nucleotides) under uncultured bacterium. RNAcentral's name for it is "partial 16S ribosomal RNA". It matches the Rfam family "Bacterial small subunit ribosomal RNA", at positions 524 to 776 of the family's 1533-position model. The record is from RNAcentral.
UACGUAGGGUGCAAGCGUUGUCCGGAAUUAUUGGGCGUAAAGAGCUCGUAGGCGGUCUGUCACGUCGGAUGUGAAAAUCCAGGGCUUAACCCUGGACCUGCAUUCGAUACGGGUAGACUAGAGGUAUGCAGGGGAGAACGGAAUUCCUGGUGUAGCGGUGAAAUGCGUAGAGAUCAGGAGGAACACCCGGGGCGAAGGCGGCCCUCUGGCUCGACCCUGACGCUGAGGCGCGAAAGCGUGGGGAGCGAACGGG